Molecule: ribosomal RNA, 327 nt
Filed under: uncultured eukaryote
Lineage: Eukaryota
Description: partial 18S ribosomal RNA
Rfam family: Eukaryotic small subunit ribosomal RNA
Source: RNAcentral
CCCUUAGAUGUUCUGGGCUGCACGCGCGCUACACUGAUACUUUCAGCGAGUCCACCACCUUGCCUGGGAGGGUGGGGUAACCUCUGGAAAGUGCAUCGUGAUGGGGAUCGAUUAUUGUAAUUAUUAAUCUUCAACGAGGAAUUCCUAGUAAGCAUGUGUCAUCAGCCCGUGCUGAUUACGUCCCUGCCCUUUGUACACACCGCCCGUCGCUACUACUGAUUGGGUGUUCAAGUGAGAUGCUUAGACCCUUGUUGCAUGGUUCAUUAUUGUGCUCCGAAAGGAAAAAGUUUCAAGCUUGAGUGUCUAGAGGAAGUAAAAGUCGUAACA